Molecule: ribosomal RNA, 407 nt
Filed under: bacterium enrichment culture clone ALO1_GLFRUDD03G8VHA
Lineage: Bacteria
Also listed under: 2 other names
Description: bacterial SSU rRNA
Rfam family: Bacterial small subunit ribosomal RNA
Source: RNAcentral
GAGUUUGAUCGUGGCUCAGAUUGAACGCUGGCGGCAUGCCUUACACAUGCAAGUCGAACGGCAGCACGGGAGCUUGCUCCUGGUGGCGAGUGGCGAACGGGUGAGUAAUGCAUCGGAACGUAUCCUGGAGUGGGGGAUAACGUAGCGAAAGUUACGCUAAUACCGCAUAUUCUGUGAGCAGGAAAGCGGGGGACCUUCGGGCCUCGCGCUCUUGGAGCGGCCGAUGUCGGAUUAGCUAGUUGGUGAGGUAAAGGCUCACCAAGGCGACGAUCCGUAGCAGGUCUGAGAGGAUGAUCUGCCACACUGGAACUGAGACACGGUCCAGACUCCUACGGGAGGCAGCAGUGGGAAUUUUGGACAAGUGGGGGCAACCCUGAUCCAGCCAUGCCGCGUGAGUGAAGAAGGCC